This 849-nucleotide ribosomal RNA is filed under the name uncultured Alphaproteobacteria bacterium. Its description in RNAcentral is "bacterial SSU rRNA". It matches the Rfam family "Bacterial small subunit ribosomal RNA", at positions 25 to 922 of the family's 1533-position model. The record is from RNAcentral. Lineage: Bacteria; Pseudomonadati; Pseudomonadota; Alphaproteobacteria.
CAGAACGUACGCUGGCGGCACGCCUAACACAUGCAAGUCGAACGAAGUAGCAAUACUUAGUGGCAGACGGGUGAGUAACAUGUAGGUAUCUGCCCUUUGGCCUGGAAUAACACGAGGAAACUUGUGCUAAUACCGGAUAAGUCUUUACGGAGAAAGCUUUAUGCACCAUUGGAUGAGCCUGCACUUGAUUAGUUUGUUGGUGGGGUAAUGGCCUACCAAGACUGUGAUCAAUAGCUGAUUUGAGAGGAUGAUCAGCCACAUUGGGACUGAGACACGGCCCAAACUCCUACGGGAGGCAGCAGUGGGGAAUCUUGCACAAUGGAGGAAACUCUGAUGCAGCGAUGCCGCGUGAGUGAAGAAGGCCUUUGGGUUGUAAAGCUCUUUCGUCGGGGAAGAAAAUGACUGUACCCGAAUAAGAAGGUCCGGCUAACUUCGUGCCAGCAGCCGCGGUAAUACGAAGGGACCUAGCGUAGUUCGGAAUUACUGGGCUUAAAGAGUUCGUAGGUGGUUGAAAAAGUUAGUGGUGAAAUCCCAGAGCUUAACUCUGGAACUGCCAUUAAAACUUUUCAGCUAGAGUAUGAUAGAGGAAAGCAGAAUUUCUAGUGUAGAGGUGAAAUUCGUAGAUAUUAGAAAGAAUACCAAUUGCGAAGGCAGCUUUCUGGAUCAUUACUGACACUGAGGAACGAAAGCAUGGGUAGCGAAGAGGAUUAGAUACCCUCGUAGUCCAUGCCGUAAACGAUGUGUGUUAGACGUUGGAAAUUUAUUUUCAGUGUCGCAGGGAAACCGAUAAACACACCGCCUGGGGAGUACGACCGCAAGGUUAAAACUCAAAUGAAUUGACGGGGACCC